AACGUAGGUUCCGAGCGUUAUCCGGAUUUACUGGGCGUAAAGCGCGUUCAGGCGGUUUGGCAAGUCGGGCAUGAAAUCUCUCGGCUCAACCGGGAGAGGUUGUCCGAUACUGUCAGACUGGAGGGCAGUAGAGGAUGGUGGAAUUCCGGGUGUAGUGGUGAAAUGCGUAGAGAUCCGGAGGAACACCAGAGGCGAAGGCGGCAACCUGGCACGUUACUGACGCUCAUACACGACAGCAUGGGGAGCGAACGGG
This 253-nucleotide ribosomal RNA is filed under the name uncultured prokaryote. Its description in RNAcentral is "partial 16S ribosomal RNA". It matches the Rfam family "Bacterial small subunit ribosomal RNA", at positions 524 to 776 of the family's 1533-position model. The record is from RNAcentral.